GGCCUAACACAUGCAAGUCGAGCGGUAACAGGACUAGCUUGCUAGUUGCUGACGAGCGGCGGACGGGUGCGUAACACGUAGGAAUCUGCCCGGUAGUGGGGGAUAGCCCGGAGAAAUCCGGAUUAAUACCGCAUACGCCUUACGAGGGAAAGGAGGGGCCUCUUCGGAGCCUUUCGCUAUCGGAUGAGCCUGCGUCGGAUUAGCUAGUUGGUGGGGUAAAGGCCUACCAAGGCGACGAUCCGUAGCUGGUCUGAGAGGAUGAUCAGCCACACUGGGACUGAGACACGGCCCAGACUCCUACGGGAGGCAGCAGUGGGGAAUAUUGCACAAUGGGGGAAACCCUGAUGCAGCCAUGCCGCGUGUGUGAAGAAGGCUCUAGGGUUGUAAAGCACUUUCAGCGAGGAGGAAAGGUUGCUGGUNAAUACCCAGCGGCUGUGACGUUACUCGCAGAAGAAGCACCGGCUAACUCCGUGCCAGCAGCCGCGGUAAUACGGAGGGUGCGAG
This 504-nucleotide ribosomal RNA is filed under the name uncultured Gammaproteobacteria bacterium. RNAcentral's name for it is "bacterial SSU rRNA". It matches the Rfam family "Bacterial small subunit ribosomal RNA", at positions 45 to 538 of the family's 1533-position model. Lineage: Bacteria; Pseudomonadati; Pseudomonadota; Gammaproteobacteria. The record is from RNAcentral.